This 810-nucleotide long non-coding RNA is filed under the name Fukomys damarensis (Damara mole-rat). RNAcentral describes it as "lncRNA (ENSFDAG00000025999.1)". The record is from RNAcentral. Lineage: Eukaryota; Metazoa; Chordata; Mammalia; Rodentia; Bathyergidae.
GCCAAAUCCAAGUUUUCAGUUCCAAAGACCACCCUGCUGCUGGCAUAAAGGAUGGAUAUGAGGACGAGAAGAGGAGGUACGUGGGUACUAGCACAAGAAUGCUCGCAAAGGGCAGUCAGUAAGUGUAUGAAGCAUGAUGAUACCAGUAGAAGAUGGGAUCCUGGUUUUGAUGACUGGCCUGGUUAUCCUACAAAAACAGUAGUUGCCACCACAGAGAAUUUUGAACGUUUCUCUUACAAGACCACUGAAUUAAUUAGAGAAAGGCUUUGGCUUUUGCUUUGGCAAAUGUGUGGCCCAGAAUUGAUUGUCCUAAGACCACUUCAACUAUUCAGAUUUUCGAGUUUGAAUUCCUCAUAGCGAUUGGCUGGUUUUUCUUUUUCCUAAUUUUAAAUUCCACAAGUAAAUUUUUGUGUGACUGUUUUUUCUGGAAUCUCAUUGUAUUGCCCAUGUUGAUCUUAAAUUCAUAGACUCAAGAGAUUUCCCUGCCUCAGUCUUAUGAAUAGCUAGAAGUACAAGCAUAUACCUCCACUUCUGGCUUGAGAAGUUUGUUUACUUUUUGUGUUUACACAUAAUCUCAUUAGAAGUAAUCAGGAGGCAAGACCUCCUGAGGUCUGCUGUUUUAUUUUAGCAGAAGCUGUAAGAAGUUUUCUGAAAUGCAGGUAAGAAUGCUGGAAGGAAGGGAUAUUUGUCUCCAGUACAAUUCUACACACAUACACACACCCACACACACUCAGCAAUGUGUAUUUACAUGCUAAUCAUUCAAUAAAAUGAUAUAUGAGAGAGAAAACUAUGAAGCAAGCACAAUCAGGA